Molecule: ribosomal RNA, 253 nt
Filed under: uncultured bacterium
Lineage: Bacteria
Description: partial 16S ribosomal RNA
Rfam family: Bacterial small subunit ribosomal RNA
Source: RNAcentral
UACGGAGGAUCCAAGCGUUAUCCGGAUUUAUUGGGUUUAAAGGGUGCGUAGGCGGAAUUGUAAGUCAGUGGUGAAAUCCUACAGCUUAACUGUAGAACGGCCAUUGAUACUGCAGAUCUUGAGUAUAUUUGAAGUGGGCGGAAUGUGUCAUGUAGCGGUGAAAUGCUUAGAUAUGACACAGAACACCGAUUGCGAAGGCAGCUCACUAAACUAUAACUGACGCUGAGGCACGAAAGCGUGGGGAGCAAACAGG